AGUGAACGCUGGCGGUAGGCCUAACACAUGCAAGUCGAACGGCAGCACAGUAAGAGCUUGCUCUUACGGGUGGCGAGUGGCGGACGGGUGAGGAAUACAUCGGAAUCUACUUUUUCGUGGGGGAUAACGUAGGGAAACUUACGCUAAUACCGCAUACGACCAACGGGGGAAAGCAGGGGAUCUUCGGACCUUGCGCGUUUGAAUGAGCCGAUGUCGGAUUAGCUAGUUGGCGGGGUAAAGGCCCACCAAGGCGACGAUCCGUAGCUGGUCUGAGAGGAUGAUCAGCCACACUGGAACUGAGACACGGUCCAGACUCCUACGGGAGGCAGCAGUGGGGAAUAUUGGACAAUGGGCGCAAGCCUGAUCCAGCCAUACCGCGUGGGUGAAGAAGGCCUUCGGGUUGUAAAGCCCUUUUGUUGGGAAAGAAAAGCAGCAGGUUAAUACCCCGCUGUUCUGACGGUACCCAAAGAAUAAGCACCGGCUAACUUCGUG
Molecule: ribosomal RNA, 492 nt
Filed under: uncultured bacterium
Lineage: Bacteria
Description: partial 16S ribosomal RNA
Rfam family: Bacterial small subunit ribosomal RNA
Source: RNAcentral